CCUGCACCUGCUACUGAAGAUAACAGGCUGCAAUAAUUCACUGUCCAGAUGCAGCAAGGAGCGUGGAAGAGUUUGAGGACAUCCAGGAUGAGCUCCCUCUUCUUUGCCUCCAGAGUCUCCUCCAAGGUUGCCUCUCGAUUCCCCUUCCCUUCUUGAUCCCUCACUUUGCCUCCCCCUCUGCCAACCCCUCCCCAGCAACUGAGUGGCAGAAACAUCUCUCC
Molecule: long non-coding RNA, 221 nt
Filed under: Homo sapiens (human)
Lineage: Eukaryota; Metazoa; Chordata; Mammalia; Primates; Hominidae
Description: non-protein coding lnc-GALNT14-3:1
Source: RNAcentral